UAAAAGAUCAAAAGCAAAGAGGGCCCCCAAGCAUCACAGUUUUAAUUCAAAGAUAAAUGGCUGAAAAGAAGCUAAUGACCAAGGUCCUGCGGAGCACCAUUGUCUGGCCAUCUGUCACUGCACCCUCUCAGUGUAAUGUGUCAGCUUGCUCAGUUGAAUUUCCAUCUGAUGCCAUGCUCUAUGAGGCAGCUGAAAGACAGUCAAACUCCACAGAUAUGAGAUUUGUUUUGAUCCCGUGUGGUUAGUUCUGCAAGAAAACCGUGUCUAUGAAAUGUACUUACCUUGACAGAUGAAUCCUACUGAAUCCACCGUAGUCAACACAUCCUAGUAAGUUGUACAUGAAUUGCCAAUUCAGAUGAAUGACUUCCUCAUAACUUAAAUGCUAGCCCAUGGAUAAAGGUUUCCUCAUCGGAAGACAAUAAUUAUCUGUUAAAAAAAGUGAACAGCAAACUGGGACAAAAUCUGCAAGUUAAACAGCUGUUGGAAAAUAACUUUAUUGGAAUGUGUAUUUGUCCAAAAUUCAGACAGGAAUUUCAGGUGUACAGAGUUUCAAAAAUCAUAAGUUUAGACUAGAUGACAACAGACUAGAAAUUGUAUGUAAUGUUCAAAUGUGGCAAUAUUGCCUGUUAUCCCAGUCAGGGCUACAGUACAGCAAAUCAUUAAAUACAAAGCCAAAGUAAACACUGCAACACAAGCAUACAGAUCAGUCCUUGCUUUAAACUAUAGUAGCACCACCAAAACAAGUAUUAAGAAAAUGUUGUAAGGAGUAAUCAAACUGAAAGCAAAACUCUUUGUAAAACUCCUAAGUAAGCUAGUUGUGACGCUGCUCUGCUUACGUCUUGUAUUGGGAAAGGCUCCAGCUAGGAACUGUUCGCUAUGCCUGAGCUUUAUACCUGCCUUCUGCCCCGUCCCGCCUGCAGGAAAAGCUCUUCAUAUAAAACUGCAGAGGCCACAGGUGACAGACAAAUUGCUCUUGAAUGGGUCUUGCAAGCUGGGCCCUGUAACUCUUCAUGGGAGGAGCAGCUGUGUGUUGAACAAUAUAUUAUUACUUUCUAGAAUGUCUAUACAGGAUAGUUCUGCUUUGCAUAUUUUUUAUUUUUUUAAUAGGUGUUGAUUUGUUUUUGACGUUGUUUUAUGUAAUUUUUUAUUAUGUUAUCAGCUGCUUUAAAUAAAUACCUUGGAAAGAUACUGUGCA
This 1195-nucleotide long non-coding RNA is filed under the name Salvator merianae (Argentine black and white tegu). RNAcentral describes it as "lncRNA (ENSSMRG00000018469.1)". The record is from RNAcentral. Lineage: Eukaryota; Metazoa; Chordata; Lepidosauria; Squamata; Teiidae.